GAAAAGUUGACAGUGAAUCGUUUUUUCUUUCUUUCUGUAUUUUUUCUUUUUUUCUGUCUUUUGAAAUUUAAUCACUGUAUGCUAUCUCUGUACAACAGAAAUAAAGUUUCGUUCGAUGGCACUAUUAAGGUAAAAAAAA
RNAcentral lists this non-coding RNA (139 nucleotides) under uncultured Symbiodinium. The record is from RNAcentral. Lineage: Eukaryota; Dinophyceae; Suessiales; Symbiodiniaceae.